CAAAUGACUCCCGGCAAUGGAUAUCUCGGCUCUUGCAUCGAUGAAGAACGUAGUGAAAUGCGAUACUUGGUGUGAAUUGCAGAAUCUCGUGAACCAUUGAGUCUUUGAACGCAAGUUGUGCCCGAGGCCUUGUGGCCGAGGGCACGCCUGCUUGGGCGUCAUGGC
Molecule: ribosomal RNA, 165 nt
Filed under: Haniffia cyanescens
Lineage: Eukaryota; Viridiplantae; Streptophyta; Magnoliopsida; Zingiberales; Zingiberaceae
Description: 5.8S ribosomal RNA
Rfam family: 5.8S ribosomal RNA
About the family: 5.8S ribosomal RNA (5.8S rRNA) is a component of the large subunit of the eukaryotic ribosome. It is transcribed by RNA polymerase I as part of the 45S precursor that also contains 18S and 28S rRNA.
Source: RNAcentral